CAGAAUAAGAGUCAGAUGAUGAGAAAAGUAAAAUGGGGAAUAGAAAUAGCUUGCACGGUGAUCAGACCGUGAAAGAAAUUUCACAAAGAUGAAAUUUCAGUUUUUGGGUGAUGGAUAGAGAGAACUCUUCUCAAGUGGAAGCUAAAAAAUAAUUGGAUAAGCUUGAGGGAGUAGCAAGUUCGAAUUGAAAAAGGUGAAAGAAUCAAAGAGCAGUACAAUUGCAGUUGAAUAUCUCGAAAAGCUGAACACAGAGAAAGUUUGAGGUGAAAAAGAAAACAAAUAAAAAUAAAGAAGCCAGUAAACGCAACAAAAGGUGCAAGAGGAGAGCGAAGGAAAGCUCAAUGGCACAGACAGAAUCAGAUGAGAAGAGAAGGUAAACGCAGUCUCACUAGUAUUUCAAGCAAUGUGGA
Molecule: non-coding RNA, 410 nt
Organism: Schizosaccharomyces pombe (fission yeast)
Lineage: Eukaryota; Fungi; Ascomycota; Schizosaccharomycetes; Schizosaccharomycetales; Schizosaccharomycetaceae
Source: the annotation of a GenBank genome assembly